This is a long non-coding RNA of Pseudopipra pipra, 2124 nucleotides long. RefSeq lists it as uncharacterized. NCBI's taxonomy places the organism in Eukaryota, Metazoa, Chordata, Aves, Passeriformes, Pipridae. The transcript has 3 exons. The record is from RefSeq and is a predicted model, not a curated record.
CUUAGGGCUGGUGGAGGAUCUGCUGGGGCUCGGUAGGUCGUGGGGCUCGUUAAGGCUCGUUAGGGCUGGUGAAGGACCUGGUGGGGCUCGUUAGGGCUCGUUAGGGCUGGUGAAGGACCUGGUGGGGCUUGUUAAGUUGUGGGGGCUUAUUUAAGGUUCAUUAGGGCUGGUGAAGGACCUGGUGGGGCUCGUUAGAUCGUGGGGGCUCGUUAAGGCUCGUUAGGGCUGGUGAAGGACCUGGUGGGGCUCAUUAGGUUGUGGGGGCUCGUUAAGGCUCAUUAGGGCUGGUGAGGGAUCUGGUGGGGCUCGUUAGGUCGUGGGGGCUUGUUGUGGGCAGAGAACCCACCUCGGGGGGGGCAGCCCUGGGUCUGGGGGCAUCCCAUGGUGGGGCUGGCUUGGGCUUGGCAGGAGGUGCUGGGGGGUCACUGGGGCUCUCUGGGGCUCACUGGGGGGUCACUGGGGCUCACUGGGGGGUCACUGGAGUCACUGGGGCUCACUGGGACUCACUGGGGCUCACUGGGGAUCACUGGGUGUCACUGGGAGUCACUGGGGGUCACUGGGAGUCACUGGGGAUCACUGGGGCUCACUGGGACUCACUGGGGGGCACUGGGGCUCACUGGGGGGCACUGGGGCUCAGUGGGGCUCACUGGGACUCACUGGGGGUCACUGGGAGUCCCUGGGGGUCACUGGGGCUCACUGGGGGUCACUGGGGCUCACUGGGGGUCACUGGGACUCACUGGGGCUCAGUGGGGCUCACUGGGACUCACUGGGGGUCACUGGGAGUCCCUGGGGGUCACUGGGGCUCACUGGGAGUCCCUGGGGGUCACUGGGAGUCACUGGGGCUCACUGGGGCUCACUGGGACUCACUGGGGAUCACUGGGGCUCACUGGGGCUCACUGGGACUCACUGGGGCUCUCUGGGGUCCAGGUUUGGGGGUCAUCAGGCUGAGGGGACUCAUUAAGGCUCGUUAGGAGCUGGGGAGUCCUCAGGUCCCGAGAGCCGGGUUUGGGGUCCUCAGGUGGUGGGGACUCGUUAGGGGGUGACAGAGGAGCUAUUUGACCUCAUUAAAUGGUCAGGACUCAUUAAGGCUCAUUAGGAGAUGGAGACCUUGGUCUGGGGGGUCAUCAGUGGUGGGGGCUCAUUAAGGCUCAUUAGGAGGUGGUGGGCUCGUUAAGGCUCCUUGGGUGAUGGGGGCCCAGGUUUGGGGGUCAUCAGGUGGUGGGGACUCAUUAAGGCUCAUUAAGUGGUGGGGGCUCAUUAAGGCUCAUUAGCAAGUGAGGAAGGACCUGAUGGGGCUCGUUAGGUCCUGGAGACCCUCAUCUCAUCUCGGGCCUCGUUAAUUAAGGCUCAUUAAGGCUGAUGAGGUGAUGAGGGACCUGUCGGGGCUCUUUAAUGGGGGGGACCCAGAUCUUGGGGAAUCGUUUGGGAGGUGGAGACUCAUUAAGGGUCAAUAAUUAGUGGGACCCAGAUCUUGGGGGGUCAUUCGGUUGUUGGGGGCUCGUUAAGGGUCGUUAAUUAGUGGGACCCCAAGUUUUGAGUUCGUUAGGCUGUGGGGGCUUAUUAAGGGUUGUUAAUUAGUGGACCCAGGUUUUGGUGCUCGUUAAGGUUCGUUGGGUGAUGGGGGACCCUGGGGUGGAGUUUAAUGAGCUUAAUGAGGUCACUGAGGUUAAUGAGGUUAAUGGGGCCCAUGGGAUUAACAAGAUCAGUGGGUCAAUGAGCUUAAUGACCUUAAUGAGGUCAAUGGGUUAAUGAUUUAAAUGAAGUCAGGGGGGUUAAUGGGGUUAAUGAAGCUCAUGGCACUAACGGGGUCAAUGGGUUAAUGAGGUCAGUGGGUUAAUGAGGUUAACGAGGUCGAUGGGUUGGGGUUAAUGAGGUUAACGAGGUCAAUGGGGUUAAUGAUGUCAGUGGGUUAAUGAGGUUAACGAGGUCAGUGAGUUUAAUGAAGGAGCUCCCUGGGGGUCCCGGACCCUUCCUGGGGCAUCACCUCCCCCCCCUCCCCUCCCCCCCGGCCCCUCCCCCUCCCCGCGGGGGGCGGGGCCGAUGUACAGAUUUUAUAGGGGGGGAGGGGCCGGCGCGUUUUUAAUUAACGGCGAUUUCGGGGCUAAUAAAGGAGGAUUUGGUUAA